Molecule: long non-coding RNA, 484 nt
Organism: Pristis pectinata (smalltooth sawfish)
Lineage: Eukaryota; Metazoa; Chordata; Chondrichthyes; Rhinopristiformes; Pristidae
Exons: 4
Source: RefSeq, a predicted model, not a curated record
CGGAGCUUGGUCUCCACCCGCUGGACGCCGCCCCGGUUCCUGCAGCACUUCGGCAGCUCCGCGUCCGCCAUCGCCGCCUGAGCUCAGCCAAAGGUUUCAUCACAUUGUUUUGAAGAGCAAGAGAUGUAUCCUUGGAGCACAAGAGUAGGUACCACCUAACCUGGCGAGUGUUUCCAGUAUUUUAUUUCAGAUUUCCAGCUUCGGCAGUAUCUUGCUUUCAAAGCGUGGUAACAGGCCCUUCCAGCCCAACGAGUCCGCGCCACCCAUUUUAAACCCAAAUUAACCUACCCGUACGUCUUUGCAAUGUGGGAGGAAACCGGAGCACCCGGAGGAAACCCACGCAGACGCAAGGAGGACGUACAAACUCCUUACAGACUGCGACAGGAAUCCAACCCCGAUCGCUGGCGCUGUAAUACCGUCGCGCUAACCACUACGCUACCGUGCCUUUUCUUAUUGAUUUGGGGAUUUUUUUUUCCUUUCCUUU